UCAGGCAAAGGUAUAUUUACAGAUACUUUUUAAAAUUUGUUUGAGUUGAGGUAGAGUAAAUAUCUGUAUUCUCCUUUGCCUGCAG
Molecule: microRNA precursor, 85 nt
Filed under: Aotus nancymaae (Ma's night monkey)
Lineage: Eukaryota; Metazoa; Chordata; Mammalia; Primates; Aotidae
Description: miRNA (ENSANAG00000014688.1)
Rfam family: mir-4742 microRNA precursor family
Source: Rfam by way of RNAcentral